GGAGAGGUGGCAGAGUGGUCGAAUGCGGCGGUCUCGAAAACCGUUAGACGGGUAACCGUCUCGGGGGUUCGAAUCCCCCCCUCUCCGCCA
Molecule: transfer RNA, 90 nt
Filed under: Pseudomonadota bacterium
Lineage: Bacteria; Pseudomonadati; Pseudomonadota
Description: tRNA-Ser
Rfam family: tRNA
About the family: Transfer RNA (tRNA) molecules are approximately 80 nucleotides in length. Their secondary structure includes four short double-helical elements and three loops (D, anti-codon, and T loops).
Source: RNAcentral